GGUAGCCUCUCCACUAUUGUUUAGAUGCACCGGAUUUUGUCUGAUCUUGGAAGUUAAGCAGGGUAGGGCCUGGUUAGUACUUGGAUGGGAGAUUCUGCCCAUUUUCAAGCUGAGUCUUUCC
This 121-nucleotide ribosomal RNA is filed under the name Mesocricetus auratus (golden hamster). The record is from RNAcentral. Lineage: Eukaryota; Metazoa; Chordata; Mammalia; Rodentia; Cricetidae.